Long non-coding RNA from Hyla sarda, 2369 nucleotides. RefSeq lists it as uncharacterized. The transcript has 7 exons. Lineage: Eukaryota; Metazoa; Chordata; Amphibia; Anura; Hylidae. The record is from RefSeq and is a predicted model, not a curated record.
GCGCAGAUAUUUACCAGGUCGCUGAUGAGCUGUUCCAGCAGGGUGGGCGCCCUCUGAGGGGAUCCGGCCUUGUCGGUCACAGUUCCGGGCACCGGCCUCUCCUGCAGCAGGCUCUCCGCCAGUGCCAGUUUUUGGAAUACGGCCACUGCAGUUUUUGAGCCAAAGUCAGAAGUGGAUCCAAAAGGGAGGAGAAGUACAAGUCCUACCAAGGUCAGAAGUGGAUCCAUAAGGGAGGAGAAGUACAAGUCCUACCAAAGCUCUUACAGUGAGAGUAGACUUUUGGGUAAUAAAUAUUAACCCCUUACACUAUAUUUCUGUGCAAUAUGUUGUAGCACAGAAAGCCUGUCUGUCUGCUGAUCCUGUCCAUCUACAAGCAGUGGGGCUAUGUAACUGUCUAGAUGAGAGUUAAAAUGAUCUACUUAACCUUCAAGCAAGUAGAACUUCUGGAUCAAUAGUCUAACAGAUGGACUUAUGUCUGGCAUGGCACAGAAGGAGACUAACAGGACGUGGCAAGAUGGCAGAAGCACAAGUUGAUAUAUUUGUUAUUGGCAAACUGCAAACCCAUUGGACGAUCCAAGGCCAUCUUGUGAUGACAUCAGUUCCUCACUGUCUCUGCCUCCGGAUGUCUAUUAUGCACCAACUGCUGCAUUAAAAGUCUUCACUGCUGUAUGGUUAGGAAGUAUGGUGUCCUCGUGAUGAGGAGACAUUGAAGCCAUUGGUGCCUGAUGAUGAAGAGGAUAUUCCUGUGCUAAACAUGAAGUGCAGAUGAAGGAGCAGUUCUAAGAAUUGGCUUUGAAGGCUGAUGAUGGUUGAGCUUCAGUGCAUGCAAUGAACAUUCAACCUUACUAUCCUCUGAUAAUGGGAAGGGGCAGCAUUUCAGUAGGUAGCUGCCACUAGCCAGCAAUGUCUGGGAGAAUGUGCAAUGGCCUGAUUAUAAUGUGUGCAGUGUGGUGACGCUCUCCUGGAGAGCAAUAAGCUAAACCCAUAGUGUCCCGGUCAUAACAAUACCACUAGACACUACAGGGUUGCGACUACUUCCCGACUGAGAAGUUUGUUUGCAGAUGUGUGGAUUUUUUAAAAGUUUGUCUAAUACAAAGAAUGUGUAGAAUAUAUUGUAAGUACCUACUAGAGUCUAUUUAUUGUACAUAAGGCAUUCCUCUUUUCAACCUCUUUAAACACUUUUCUGUACCAUUAACGGCAGUGUCAUUUUUUUACAUUUAUAUUGAUCUGUUUUAUUGCUUGUGUGAAGGCAAAAUUUACUUGUCAACUGAUUUAUUAUCUUUAUUCGAAAAAAAAAAAAUCAAGGAAAACUAUUACUUAAGGUUUAUCGUGUUCAUUUAUCUCUAUCUGCUACAGCCUUAAUGGUUGUAGGUGCUGUAAGGGUGAUUUACUACAACCUUGUCAUUAUUCAGCCGAGCUCGGAGAUCUGGCUCUUGCUUGAAGUACAGAGUAAUAAACAAGAAGCCUCAUUUUUGGUCAACUACGGUUAACCAGCGCAGUGUGUGCAAACCAAAUCAGCUAUUUCUUUUUUUACAACAAAACUCUUGUACCUUGUUUACAUGUAAAUUUUUAACCUUAUGAUCAAGUAUAAUGUUUUCAGAUGAUGUUUUAUUGAAGAGGUGUAUAUGUAAAUAAAUGGUCAAACAGGCACUUACCUAAGUCAGUGUGUGAAAUAACUUGAUCCUUUGAAUAGCACAUGGCUCAAGUUUCUCUAGACUAGAGGUUCAUGUGCUUACUCACAAAGGAUCUUUUUAGAUUGUAUCCAGUAAAACUUAAUUUCUUGGACUGAUGUCACCUCUAAACUGAUACUCACAUCUUCUCAUGAAUCAGGAAUGUAUACCAUGAAACAGUAAAGAACACAUUCUUUGUCACCAGUAAUUUUACUUUACUUUAUGCUUGAGUACCUUCACAGUUGUUUGAGGACCUUCACAGUUGUUUGAGGACCUGCACAGCUGUUUGAGGACCUUCACAGUUGUUUGAGGACCUGCACAGCUGUUUGAGUACCUUCACAGUUGUUUGAGUACCUGCACAGCUGUUUGAGGACCUUCACAGUUGUUUGAGGACCUUCACAGUUGUUUGAGUACCUGCACAGCUGUUUGAGGACCUUCACAGCUGUUUGAGUACCUGCACAGUUCUUUGAGGACCUUCACAGUUGUUUGAGGACCUUCAUAGUUGUUUGAGGACCUGCACAGUUGUUUGAGGACCUUCACAGUUGUUUGAGAACCUGCACAAUAGUUUGAGUACCUGCACAGUUGUUUGAGUACUUGCACAGCUGUUUGAGUACCUGUACAGUUGUUUGAGUACCUGCACAGUUGUUUGAGUACUUGCACAGCUGUUUGAGUACCUGUACAGUUGUUUGAGUACCUGCA